AAUUCUUCAAGGAGCAGAUUUUUGUAUGUUUUUUGUGUUUGUGUUUUUGAUGAUAUUUGGAUUAUAUUGUACUUUUUAUUAUUAUUUUGAACUGUCUUCAGUUUAACAUCAUUUUUUGGGAGUGAAAUUUGUUUAAAUUUGAAUAUAGAAAGUUUGUAAUUAUGUUAUUUAAAAAAAACUCUAAUUAAAUGGGCUAGUGAGCCAACCCGUUUACCUACCAACCCAUGGUGGGUCGAGCCAGGUUCAUAUUUUUCUGGCUCGCUAAUAUAUGAGCUGGGUUGGGUUGGCUCACUAAGUGACCAACCCGUGGUGGGUCGGGCCGGGUCGAGCUGAGUUACCCGUUUUGACAGCUCUAACUAUAACCAACAUAAUGUCUUUAAUUUUCAUCUUUCCCCUAUCUCCUCCUUGUCCUACACUUUAAUGUUGUGCUCACAUUAUUCUCCCCCCUCUCAUUAUUAUUCCUUUCGUUAAUGACUCUCUUUUUCUCCCUCUCGUUGGUAAUCAUUUUCUUUCUCAUAGAGGUCACUCUUAUAGAGACCAUUCUCACUCUUGCAGACCCUUAGUACUCUAACAAUUUCUCUCACUGAUGUUGGGUUUAGAGUUUGGAUGUAUUUCCUAUCUCGAGGGCACUCUAUAGGUUUCAGUCUUCACUGUAGUGGUCUCGUCAUUAUCCUUCGUUGUUGUCUUCUUCCUCUCUUUCACUUCGUUUCGCUUCUUCCCCACU
This 724-nucleotide long non-coding RNA is filed under the name Vigna radiata. RNAcentral describes it as "long non-coding RNA (VRAD_LNC018515)". Lineage: Eukaryota; Viridiplantae; Streptophyta; Magnoliopsida; Fabales; Fabaceae. The record is from RNAcentral.